This 550-nucleotide ribosomal RNA is filed under the name uncultured bacterium. RNAcentral describes it as "bacterial SSU rRNA". It matches the Rfam family "Bacterial small subunit ribosomal RNA", at positions 355 to 896 of the family's 1533-position model. The record is from RNAcentral.
UAGGGAAUCUUCGGCAAUGGACGGAAGUCUGACCGAGCAACGCCGCGUGAGUGAAGAAGGUUUUCGGAUCGUAAAGCUCUGUUGUAAGAGAAGAACGAGUGUGAGAGUGGAAAGUUCACACUGUGACGGUAUCUUACCAGAAAGGGACGGCUAACUACGUGCCAGCAGCCGCGGUAAUACGUAGGUCCCGAGCGUUGUCCGGAUUUAUUGGGCGUAAAGCGAGCGCAGGCGGUUAGAUAAGUCUGAAGUUAAAGGCUGUGACUUAACCAUAGUAGGCUUUGGAAACUGUUUAACUUGAGUGCAAGAGGGGAGAGUGGAAUUCCAUGUGUAGCGGUGAAAUGCGUAGAUAUAUGGAGGAACACCGGUGGCGAAAGCGGCUCUCUGGCUUGUAACUGACGCUGAGGCUCGAAAGCGUGGGGAGCAAACAGGAUUAGAUACCCUGGUAGUCCACGCUGUAAACGAUGAGUGCUAGGUGUUAGACCCUUUCCGGGGUUUAGUGCCGUAGCUAACGCAUUAAGCACUCCGCCUGGGGAGUACGACCGCAAGGUUG